RNAcentral lists this ribosomal RNA (404 nucleotides) under uncultured bacterium. RNAcentral's name for it is "bacterial SSU rRNA". It matches the Rfam family "Bacterial small subunit ribosomal RNA", at positions 29 to 416 of the family's 1533-position model. The record is from RNAcentral.
AACGAACGCUGGCGGCGUGCCUAACACAUGCAAGUCGAGCGGGAAAGUUCCCUUCGGGGAGCGAGUACAGCGGCGCACGGGUGAGUAACACGUAGGUAACCUACCCUGGAGACCGGGAUAACCUGCCGAAAGGCGGGCUAAUACCGGAUGAGACCACGAGGGCUGCGGCCCUUGAGGAAAAAGAUGGCCUCUACUUGUAAGCUAUCACUCCGGGAUGGGCCUGCGCGCCAUUAGCUAGUUGGGAGGUAACGGCUCACCAAGGCCGAGAUGGCUAGCUGGUCUGAGAGGAUGGCCAGCCACACUGGGACUGAGACACGGCCCAGACUCCUACGGGAGGCAGCAGUGGGGAAUAUUGCGCAAUGGGCAAAGCCUGACGCAGCGACGCCGCGUGGGUGAUGAAGGCC